CAUUCCUUCUUGCCUUUCUUUUCUUUCCCUUGUUCUUUCUUCCCCUUUCUUCGUUCUCACGCAUGCUAGACCGGGAGUAGUGAUUGAGAGAGGGACACAGAGAUCAGGCCGUGAGAGAUGCAAUUUUGAGAGGGAGAUUCCGAGCAUGACGCAGAGAAGAAAAGAAGUAGAAGAGAAAAAGAAGGAGGAGUUCGGCCAUGGGGGAGAAACCAAGGAAAAUCAGCAAGGAUAGAGUUUGGAUUUGAGACUUCAAUUGGUUCUCCAAUGUAGAGUUCGAGUCAUAAGUCCAAUGCAGCCAGAUGAUGUUCCUUUGGCUGCAGGUAUUCCGGUCGUAGUUGAUAGCGUUGUAGAAGGGUACUUUGGAUGUUAUGACUGAAGCACGCCGUAACGGUCGUAAUUGGUGGACCACGGGUUGUCCACUUGUUUAUAAGUUUGGUUUAUGGCUUGUGACAUUUGUGUCACUUAUUCCUGUAAAGCCAUUUCUGUUAUAUAUUUAUAUCGAGGAAAGACUUAAACAGAUAGAUGUAAAAUGGCUCUUUGUUUAUGAUUA
Long non-coding RNA from Alnus glutinosa, 550 nucleotides. RefSeq lists it as uncharacterized. Lineage: Eukaryota; Viridiplantae; Streptophyta; Magnoliopsida; Fagales; Betulaceae. The transcript has 3 exons. The record is from RefSeq and is a predicted model, not a curated record.